Molecule: non-coding RNA, 47 nt
Filed under: unclassified sequences
Description: ssNA-helicase RNA
Rfam family: ssNA-helicase RNA
About the family: Firmicutes, Actinobacteria (1 example). Downstream gene
Source: Rfam by way of RNAcentral
UGCGAUAGGGGGAGUAUUACCCCUAUCGUAGCAAUGUAGCAGUAGCA